UUUUGGUAUAGUAGUUGUGACUUAUUCACACUAUAUACAUUUGGCUUCCGCAACAAUUCUAAACUAUAGGAAAAAACCCUUUGGGACUAAUCUUGGCUCCCACAAUAUAACUUAUGGAUGAAGAAUUUUACCAGUUUGCUGUUGUAUUUGAUGCGCAAUAUGUUUGAUAGAGAAGCAGACGUUGUUGUUGGGACACCUGGUCGCAUUAUUGAACUCCUAAUGAAGGACUAUUUUAGUGUUUAUGGUAAAGCUGAUCAGAUGCUUUAUGUGGGUUUGCAAAGGAUGUUGAAAUCUAGAAAAUAUUACGUAGAAAUUUCAGAUAAUAAUGUUUUCAGCCAUAAUGUCAAGUUGGAUACUACUUACUAAGAAUUACUAACAAGCUCUUGAGUAGCAAAAUCACGAGAGCUGUCUUAUUUUUAUUUUUGCUGAGUACCCUGUAGGUUUUUUAUUUGCUAAGUUAUUAUGCGUAUAUAUGUGUGCAGGUAGGAAUUUUGAUGAGAAGUUAGCUGAUAGCAUUUUCUUAUAUUUAAUUGCUUGUGAGAUGCAUUAGAAACCGGUAGUCCUUGGACCUUUAAUAUCAGCAUGAAUCUAUUAUUUAUAGUGGAAUUGAGACCAGUUUAGUAGUUAAUUUUUUCUUUUUGAGGAAGCUUAUUUAUAGUGGGAGGCACCAUAUAGACUUUAGAAGAACAAAAGAUUAGGAUACAAUAAGACAGAAUUGAUAUCGAGGAUUAAUAUAAGCAUCUGAGUUGGGGAUCGAAGCAUAGUGGAUUAAAUUGUUUUUUACUGUAAAAGUUUGUUAUUUACUAAUUAUGAUGGCUAAACUAUAUUAGAUAUAGAUUUUUGGGUUAUGUUGCUCGGACUUUCUAAAAAUGCUGUUGCAUAUCCUCCAAAAAUCAACUAAUAUUAGAGGAUCCAACACACGCCCGACUGUAUUUUUAAAGAGAUCAAGUAACAUAAUUUUUUAUUACAUUGUUUCAUAUUUGGGAGGCACUGUAUGAACUUUAAGGGGAAUCAAGUUUCAUUUUCUUUGUGAACUUAUAUGUUUAAGUUCGACGCUAACGAAAAUGUUGUUAUUUGCCUGUUGGUGAAGAUGGGUUACAAAAUUAGAUAUUGUUCUGCUUGGAAUGAAUUGCUGUAAAUUAAACUGUUCUCAUUGUGAAUAAUUGAGUUUCUUGAUUUGGUAGCCGAUUAGCUAUCGGACUGAAACCGUUGGCGCUUAUUAUUCGGGGUAUGCCUAUGGGAGCAUUCUUUGCAUGUUUAUCCAUAUCUUUACUUGUGUUUAUCAUUUGAAUUUGUUUUUGAUAUCAGUAAUUAAAUCAAUCAUCGUACGCAAAUCUCUAUUACAUUUUGUAUGUUAUACUAUUCGGUAUAUAUGUCACAUUUGUCGUCUUUGUUGCAUGAUGCUAUACGUAAAUCACAGAAAUUCACUCAGUCUGUGUAUCUAUGUGUACGUGGUGUGUGGAUGAUCCAUUUGCGAGGGGUCAGCAAAGUUUUUUAGAAAGGGAUAUAUCAGGGUCGCAACACGGUGAACUUAGCAUCAGUUUAAUUGCUACAAGUUAUGCUUAAUCUAGAAGAUCAAGCCAAGCAACAAAAUCUAGGGAGUUGGAGCAGGGCGCUUUCAUUUAUAUUUUCAUUCUCUCUGAUUUUUGUUAAACCACUGGACAAGUAUUACUACCGUAACAAAAUUUCCAUUGAAGCUGCAUUUUUUAUGGGGAUGGGGUGGCUGAAAAUAAAAAGUUGUCAUACUACUAUGUGUAUAUACGCCUUUUAUUCUUUUGUAAGACUUGUGUAUCUUUUGUUGUUCAAAAGACACAGAAUUUUGCUCUUA
This is a non-coding RNA of Nicotiana tabacum (common tobacco), 1828 nucleotides long. The record is from RefSeq and is a predicted model, not a curated record. NCBI's taxonomy places the organism in Eukaryota, Viridiplantae, Streptophyta, Magnoliopsida, Solanales, Solanaceae.